RNAcentral lists this long non-coding RNA (905 nucleotides) under Pan troglodytes (chimpanzee). RNAcentral describes it as "lincRNA". Lineage: Eukaryota; Metazoa; Chordata; Mammalia; Primates; Hominidae. The record is from RNAcentral.
CAAGAAGAGGGAGAGUCCUCAGAGAGUCCUCUCUCUCGGCAUGGACACAAAAGAAAAGCAUGUGAGGACACAGAGAGAAGGUGGCUGUCUACGAGCUAGGAAGAAAGGCCUCACCGGAAACCAACCCUCACAGCAGCUCCAUCUUGGACUUCCAGCCUCCGGAACUGUGAGAAAAUAAAUGUUUGCAAUUCAGGGAGCUCCCCUCAGCAGCAGCGUUUGACAGAGCUGUUCACUUCCUCUUCCUGGAGCUGUGGCUUCCAGAGCCCAUGCUCAGCAGUUCCCCUCCUUCUUCCACUGCUCCUCUCUUAGGCUCAGAGCCACUCAGACAUUGGGAAGCAAGUUUGUCAAGAUGACAGAGAACCGAGGUAAUGGAUUCGAGUGAUGAAACAGGAAGUUCAUUCAUGAGUUUUUGGCCACACCUCCAAAGUGACGACUUAGCCAGAAAUGGGAUAACUGGGUUUCCCUACUUCUCUUUUAUCAUCCUCAAUGAGAGUGACCAAAUAUUAGAGCUAGAUGGAACCUUAGUGAAAAUCUGGCUACUCGUCCCGUCCCACCAGCCUGCCACCCAUUUCAAGUUUGAAGAGACAAAGACACAUGGACCUUAUGUAAUUACUGGGGAUUACCCCAGGAGUCUGUGGCAAAAGUCAGCUUCUUCCCUCCCUGCUUCCCCGCCCUGUCUCUGGUGCUUUCUACCAACACUGGGCUGUUUCUGUGAUCAUACUUAAGCGUACCUAACCUGUGAAUGCUGUAUAGAAGGUGCUAAUGAACAUGAUUUAGCUUUAACACUCAGUUUUCUAAAGGGACACGUGGGGGCAGCAAAUGUUUAGGGAAAAACAAUUCCAGUUCUAGCCUCUACUGUCUACAUAUGUGUAUACAUUUUGGAAACGUUUGGAAAAGGGAUAUUU